RNAcentral lists this ribosomal RNA (460 nucleotides) under uncultured Bacteroidota bacterium. RNAcentral's name for it is "bacterial SSU rRNA". It matches the Rfam family "Bacterial small subunit ribosomal RNA", at positions 338 to 795 of the family's 1533-position model. Lineage: Bacteria; Pseudomonadati; Bacteroidota. The record is from RNAcentral.
CCUACGGGGGGCUGCAGUGAGGAAUAUUGGUCAAUGGGCGCAAGACUGAACCAGCCAUGCCGCGUGCAGGAUGAAUGUUCUAUGAAUUGUAAACUGCUUUUCUAAGGGAAGAAACCUAUCCUCGUGAGGGUAGUUGCCGGUACCUUGGGAAUAAGCAUCGGCUAACUCCGUGCCAGCAGCCGCGGUAAUACGGAGGAUGCAAGCGUUAUCCGGAUUCAUUGGGUUUAAAGGGUGCGUAGGCGGAUUAAUAAGUCAGUGGUGAAAUCUUGCGGCUCAACCGUAACAUUGCCAUUGAUACUGUUAGUCUUGAAUGCAGUUGAGGUAGGCGGAAUGUGUAAUGUAGCGGUGAAAUGCUUAGAUAUUACACAGAACACCGAUUGCGAAGGCAGCUUGCUAAACUGUGAUUGACGCUGAUGCACGAAAGCGUGGGGAUCAAACAGGAUUAGAUACCCCUGUAGUC